CUAGUAAGUUAAAAGUGAAAUACCAAAGCUUAACUUUGGAGCGGCUUUUAAUACUGCUAGCACUAGAGGUCGAAAGAGGAUAGCGGAAUUCCUAGUGUAGAGGUGAAAUUCGUAGAUAUUAGGAGGAACACCAGUUGCGAAGGCGGCUAUC
This 151-nucleotide ribosomal RNA is filed under the name uncultured Ehrlichia sp. Its description in RNAcentral is "partial 16S ribosomal RNA". It matches the Rfam family "Bacterial small subunit ribosomal RNA", at positions 580 to 729 of the family's 1533-position model. The record is from RNAcentral. Lineage: Bacteria; Pseudomonadati; Pseudomonadota; Alphaproteobacteria; Rickettsiales; Anaplasmataceae.